GUCUUACUGAAUAUAUAUUAGGUCUGACCUGCCCAAUGAUUUAUAUUUAAUGGCCGCGGUAUAUUGACCGUGCAAAKGUAGCAUAAUCAUUAGUCUUUUAAUUGUAGGCUGGAAUGAACGGUUGGACGAGGAGAAAUCUGUCUCUUGUUUAUUAGUUGAAUUUAACGUUUAGGUGAAAAGGCUUAAAUGACUUUGUAGGACGAUAAGACCCUAUAGAUCUUAACAUUUUGUUAAGUUGUUAUAAUUUGUUAAGUUGAAUUACUUAUUUUUAAUGUUUCGUUGGGGCGACGGUGAGAAAUAAAGAUCUCUCAUUUGUUAAUUACAUUUAUAUAUGGUUGUUUGAUCCGUUAUUUGCGAUUAUAAGACUAAGUUACCUUAGGGAUAACAGCGUAAUCUUUUUAGAGAGUUCUUAUUGAUAAUAAGGGUUGCGACCUCGAUGUUGGAUUAAGAGAUAAGGUUUGGUGCAAAAGCUGAAAUGAUUAGGUCUGUUCGACCUUUAAUUUCUUACA
Molecule: ribosomal RNA, 509 nt
Filed under: Tricholepidion gertschi
Lineage: Eukaryota; Metazoa; Arthropoda; Insecta; Zygentoma; Lepidotrichidae
Description: partial 16S ribosomal RNA
Rfam family: Bacterial large subunit ribosomal RNA
Source: RNAcentral